GCCAGUGGCCAUAUCCCCCUGUAACUCACAACUGGUAACCCACUGAAGGUCAGCAGGAGUGAGCCUGGUCAGUACCCGGAUGGAAGCCCUCCUGGGAAAAACUAAGGCUACUGCUGGAA
This 119-nucleotide ribosomal RNA is filed under the name Lepisosteus oculatus (spotted gar). Lineage: Eukaryota; Metazoa; Chordata; Actinopteri; Semionotiformes; Lepisosteidae. The record is from RNAcentral.